GCCCGGAUGGUGGAAUUGGUAGACACGCUGGUUUCAGGUACCAGAGCCCGUUCGGGUGUGCAAGUUCAAGUCUUGUUCCGGGCA
RNAcentral lists this transfer RNA (84 nucleotides) under Spirochaetaceae bacterium. RNAcentral describes it as "tRNA-Leu". It matches the Rfam family "tRNA". Rfam says of the family: Transfer RNA (tRNA) molecules are approximately 80 nucleotides in length. Their secondary structure includes four short double-helical elements and three loops (D, anti-codon, and T loops). Lineage: Bacteria; Pseudomonadati; Spirochaetota; Spirochaetia; Spirochaetales; Spirochaetaceae. The record is from RNAcentral.